GCCCCUAUAGCUCAGCUGGUAGAGCAACUGAUUUGUAAUCAGUAGGUCGGCGGUUCGAAUCCGUCUGGGGGCACCA
RNAcentral lists this transfer RNA (76 nucleotides) under Roseovarius indicus. RNAcentral's name for it is "tRNA_Thr_TGT". It matches the Rfam family "tRNA". Rfam says of the family: Transfer RNA (tRNA) molecules are approximately 80 nucleotides in length. Their secondary structure includes four short double-helical elements and three loops (D, anti-codon, and T loops). The record is from RNAcentral. Lineage: Bacteria; Pseudomonadati; Pseudomonadota; Alphaproteobacteria; Rhodobacterales; Roseobacteraceae. RNAcentral also lists the same sequence under 1 other name.